Molecule: ribosomal RNA, 442 nt
Filed under: uncultured bacterium
Lineage: Bacteria
Description: partial 16S ribosomal RNA
Rfam family: Bacterial small subunit ribosomal RNA
Source: RNAcentral
CCUACGGGUGGCAGCAGUAGGGAAUCUUUCACAAUGGGCGAAAGCCUGAUGGAGCAACGCCGCGUGCAGGAUGAAGGCCUUCGGGUUGUAAACUGCUUUUCUAAGCGAGAAAUAUGAUGGUAACUUAUGAAUAAGGAUCGGCUAACUACGUGCCAGCAGCCGCGGUCAUACGUAGGAUCCGAGCAUUAUCCGGAGUGACUGGGUGUAAAGAGUUGCGUAGGUGGCAUAAUAAGUAGCUAGUGAAAUCUGGUGGCUCAACCAUUCAGACUAUUAGCUAGACUGUUAAGCUCGAGACCGUUAGGGGUAACUGGAAUUUCUAGUGUAGGAGUGAAAUCCGUAGAUAUUAGAAGGAACACCAAUAGCGUAGGCAGGUUGCUGGGACGGUUCUGACACUGAGGCACGAAAGCGUAGGGAGCAAACGGGAUUAGAUACCCGAGUAGUC